GCUCUCAUCCCUUAUUUAUUCACAAAUGUGAGCUGCGUUCUUACAUUGCACAUUGCUAUAAAAAGAGAAGAUGCGACGCUUCUUUCAGGUGCUGUUUUGUUUUAGUGAAUGGAAAGCAGUGAUUGAAGCUUCCGAUUCGGGUUUAUUUCUGUCUCCCAGCGGAACAAUAUGGCCAACAAUACCUAAUAUUGCUCUCAUUUUUAAGAGAGGACGGAUGAAGCAGCUCUCUGCACAUCCUCUGUGAAGUUAAAUAAGCGUUUUGAUUUUUUUUCUUUUCUUCUUCAUUUGGUAGCCAAUGGAUGUUGGUUAGCACCAGCACCAACGAGGAGAAAUCCUCCCGGCUGUUCAUAUUCUCAGACAACACAUCAACGAAUGCCCUUUAAAUGAAGUGAAUUCCAACUUUUCUCCUGUGGAUGAAGUGCCUCUGCACUGUCUGUGAGGCUGAACAGGAAAUCUUUGCCCCGUGAAAUCCCGUGCAAUAACCGCCUGGUGAUGGCGGGAUGGACUCUCGCACAUCUUGAACGCGUUUGAUUGCCCAUAUGCUUUAAAUUUGCUCAUGUAACCAUAUGUUGAAAACUUCCCCAAAUGCUACUUUGUCUUGUUUUUGGUCCCUGUUUUGAAGUUCUAAGAACACGGCAGCCUGACGGGGCUCCUCCAGGCUGUGCCAAGCGGAUUGCAACCUGCUGCUCAGCAGGGACCCCGGGCACCAGGCGUGGGAGGAGCGUUAAUAGCAGGGCAGCCUGGCAAGUGAGUGAGGGAGGAGGACAAAGAACUCACUUUGGGAGGUUUCCUGACUUAUUUCUAGGGAUUGCUGGUUCUUUCCUCGUGCUGUCACCAUACCCUUGUGUUUUCUGAACUACUCCAGAAAGAAUAACCUUCUCUGAUGGCAUUUAGUUUUCCUUAAGGGGAUGGAAAGGUUCUUCCAGUGGGCAAUUCACGCUUCCCCGUGGUGAUAUGCAGACUGGCUGAAAAGAUUGAUGUGGGAGCUGUAUGAGCUCCUGCCUCAGCCCUCUGCUCCUCCAACGUGCUCAUGCAUUUGGGUGUACCAUGGCCGUGCCAGAGGAAAGCUGAGAUAUAGAGGUGUGGGAGCAGCCUGCAGGCAUCAGGGAUGUGGGGAGUGCUGGUAGUGCAGGCUGGUGUGAAGCCAGCAGAAGAGGGCUUUUUAGGUGUCUGUAUGGUAACUACCCCAUAUCAAGCCCCUCCUACGUAGCUGCUAAAGGAGUUGAUGCAGAAUGACUUCAGUUCCCAGUCAUCAGCUCUGGGCAACAGGAGUUGCUCAUUGUCUUAAAGCAGCUGCUUUGGUAGCUCCCUUCAUGCCCAAGGCUGCUGUCACCCCUCGGCCUUCUUGUUUGCAUGUCGGUCCAGCUGCUACCACCUCUGCAGUUAUCAGUGGAGAGAUGCAGUGCUGUUCCUGCAGGCAGCUGAGAUCUCAUUAGUUAGUUAGUUAGAAAGUUAGGGUUUUUUUCUCUCAAAUGAUAAUGUCGUAUGUGGUUAUUCUUCUAUAACUUCAGGUUCUUGCUACCUUAAGACUAUGCAUUUUGAGGAAUACACCAGCAUUCAUAGAAUCACAGAAUCAGUCAGGUUGGAAAAGACCUCUCAGAUCCUCAGGUCUAACCCAGCCCAUCCCACCAUACCCACUAUGUCCCCCAGUGCCAC
Molecule: long non-coding RNA, 1656 nt
Organism: Gallus gallus (chicken)
Lineage: Eukaryota; Metazoa; Chordata; Aves; Galliformes; Phasianidae
Source: Ensembl